This 745-nucleotide ribosomal RNA is filed under the name Salmonella enterica subsp. enterica serovar Kentucky. Its description in RNAcentral is "partial 23S ribosomal RNA". It matches the Rfam family "Bacterial large subunit ribosomal RNA", at positions 799 to 1544 of the family's 2925-position model. Lineage: Bacteria; Pseudomonadati; Pseudomonadota; Gammaproteobacteria; Enterobacterales; Enterobacteriaceae. The record is from RNAcentral.
AGCGGAUGACUUGUGGCUGGGGGUGAAAGGCCAAUCAAACCGGGAGAUAGCUGGUUCUCCCCGAAAGCUAUUUAGGUAGCGCCUCGUGAACUCAUCUUCGGGGGUAGAGCACUGUUUCGGCUAGGGGGUCAUCCCGACUUACCAACCCGAUGCAAACUGCGAAUACCGAAGAAUGUUAUCACGGGAGACACACGGCGGGUGCUAACGUCCGUCGUGAAGAGGGAAACAACCCAGACCGCCAGCUAAGGUCCCAAAGUCACAGUUAAGUGGGAAACGAUGUGGGAAGGCUCAGACAGCCAGGAUGUUGGCUUAGAAGCAGCCAUCAUUUAAAGAAAGCGUAAUAGCUCACUGGUCGAGUCGGCCUGCGCGGAAGAUGUAACGGGGCUAAACUGUGCACCGAAGCUGCGGCAGCGACGCUUAUGCGUUGUUGGGUAGGGGAGCGUUCUGUAAGCCUGCGAAGGUGUCCUGUGAGGGAUGCUGGAGGUAUCAGAAGUGCGAAUGCUGACAUAAGUAACGAUAAUGCGGGUGAAAAGCCCGCUCGCCGGAAGACCAAGGGUUCCUGUCCAACGUUAAUCGGGGCAGGGUGAGUCGACCCCUAAGGCGAGGCCGAAAGGCGUAGUCGAUGGGAAACGGGUUAAUAUUCCCGUACUUGGUGUUACUGCGAAGGGGGGACGGAGAAGGCUAUGUUGGCCGGGCGACGGUUGUCCCGGUUUAAGCGUGUAGGCUGGUUUUCCAGGCAAAUCCG